Molecule: transfer RNA, 75 nt
Filed under: Tetraselmis virus 1
Lineage: Varidnaviria; Bamfordvirae; Nucleocytoviricota; Megaviricetes; Imitervirales; Allomimiviridae
Description: tRNA-Ile
Rfam family: tRNA
About the family: Transfer RNA (tRNA) molecules are approximately 80 nucleotides in length. Their secondary structure includes four short double-helical elements and three loops (D, anti-codon, and T loops).
Source: RNAcentral
UGCUCGUAUAGCUCAGUUGGUUAGAGCACCGGUCUUAUGAGCCGGGGGUCCUGGGUUCGAGCCCCAGUAUGAGCA